This 261-nucleotide long non-coding RNA is filed under the name Lathyrus oleraceus (garden pea). RNAcentral's name for it is "Pisum sativum (pea) long non-coding RNA (PSAT_LNC023194)". The record is from RNAcentral. Lineage: Eukaryota; Viridiplantae; Streptophyta; Magnoliopsida; Fabales; Fabaceae.
GAAGGGAUCCCAAAUUGGUCAAGGGAUGAACCUCACUUGAUCAAUACCACUCAUUCAUUUGAGGAAUAAAGUUUUAAACUUCAUCAACCUCAUAAAUCCAAUGGUAUUGACCAAGUCAAGGUCCAAUUCUACCAAGACCAAUGCCAAACAGAAGUGAGGUCAACACAAAGUCAAUAGAAAAGCUCACCAAAGCAUUAAAUCAAUUAAGUUAUUUUUAAAACAAUUUAAAAAUGAAGAAAAAUAAGUUUUCAAAGAUCAAAU